RNAcentral lists this long non-coding RNA (1014 nucleotides) under Calidris pugnax (ruff). Its description in RNAcentral is "lncRNA (ENSCPUG00000015944.1)". The record is from RNAcentral. Lineage: Eukaryota; Metazoa; Chordata; Aves; Charadriiformes; Scolopacidae.
AGGGGACAAAGAACUAACAUGUUCCUGCUGCCUUGCAGGGGGAUCGUGGGAAGGAUGGCUUGAAAGGCGAAAGAGGUCCUCCAGGCCCAAAGGGAGAACCCGGUCCACCAGGCAAAGGAGUGGAAAUGAAGGAUCUGGAGAGGCUUUUUGAAGCAAAUGGUAUCAAGCUGGCACUGCUGAAGGACCUCUCCAAUGCACUCCUGCAGGAUGGGCUGGAUGGGCUGGUGUGGCAGCUGGGUGGCUCCAGGACAAGCAAGACCUCCAGGAGAAAGCAAGCAGUUCUUCAUGCUACUGAGCAUGGCGAUUCACUGGUGUUUGAUACUUCUCCUGGUGCCCUGGCCAGCACUGAGGUGACAGAAGAAGCACAGAGCCUGGAGGUGGAGGCUCAGUUUAGGGUGCCGGUGUCUGGAGGACUCCUUAAGGGUCCAUCUGCUGGUGGUUCUGAACCUGAGUACCAGCCCCUAGGAAACCCUCCUGAGUCCUUGGAGAGAACAUCUGAGGAAGGAAAGGAGGAGAGAGACCCAAGAUGGACAAUCACUUCUCUCAGUGGUAGCUUGGCUUUGCCCCCACUGCACCCAGAAGAUGAUCUGCAAGGAAACCAGUCCAUGGAGCUUCUUGAGUCCCUGGAGGGGAGAGUGGAAGGACAACCACAGCAGGACACUAGCCACGAAAAUGAGAAUUUAGACGACGGCUCUGCGCUCCCAAGGCACGUUAGAGCCCAGAGAUCUGCUGAGGACCAGAGACACGUGGUAAAGACCCCAUUUCACCACGACAGCUUCGGGCUGGCCUUUGUGCAAGAGCAGAGCCAUCCGUGUGACCCAGGAGGAAACGGCGACCUUUCCUUGUUGGCUCCAUCACAGGUUCAUCCCCCUGGUGCUCCAGGAGCUCGGAAAUCCCCAUCUGGAUCCACGGUGAGUGAAGACCUCAUAGAAAGGUGUCUUCAAACACAUGGACGCAAGGGCAAUCCCAUUUCCCUCCUCUCACUUGUGCAAAGUCACGAUGAACGUAGAGGGG